Manis pentadactyla (Chinese pangolin) is the source of this 499-nucleotide long non-coding RNA. RefSeq lists it as uncharacterized. The transcript has 2 exons. Lineage: Eukaryota; Metazoa; Chordata; Mammalia; Pholidota; Manidae. The record is from RefSeq and is a predicted model, not a curated record.
AGGGAGAAAAGAAGAUUAAGAAUGUGACACAUUUUUCACAAGACACGCUCCGUUUUCUUGUGACUGAGAGUGUUCUCAUGCCCGCCAACGGCCAUAUUCAGUUCCGCGAUCCAAUUUUGGAUGCUGAAACCUUCAGCACUUUACAAAGCUGGGUUUUUUUCUUCACCAGAACAUGGAAAUUUGAUUACCUUCUGAGAGUGAAACAAGAACGGGCUCGGCUCUGUGGCUAAAAUCGUUUGAGAACAUCCGUGUAAAGAGUGCUGAUGAGAUAAAAAGAAAUGGAAGAAGGGCACGAAGGACGCCCAGGCAGCAGGAAUGUGUUGAUGUCUGCCAGGCCGCCCCAGAGACAGACACCCGGGGGCUCCCGGCUGCGCCCCCUGGGGCCCCGCACCCGCAGGGCUGGAAUACCUUGCCUCGCCUUCCCGUUUUCAGCCUGGGAGGUGACUCGCCCGUUCAGCGUGUCUUUCCCCUAAUAAACCGCCAGUACCUCUGGGAGAGG